This 61-nucleotide transfer RNA is filed under the name Heptacodium miconioides. RNAcentral describes it as "tRNA-Thr". It matches the Rfam family "tRNA", at positions 12 to 71 of the family's 71-position model. Rfam says of the family: Transfer RNA (tRNA) molecules are approximately 80 nucleotides in length. Their secondary structure includes four short double-helical elements and three loops (D, anti-codon, and T loops). Further hydrogen bonds mediate the characteristic L-shaped molecular structure. tRNAs have two regions of fundamental functional importance: the anti-codon, which is responsible for specific mRNA codon recognition, and the 3' end, to which the tRNAs corresponding amino acid is attached (by aminoacyl-tRNA synthetases). tRNAs cope with the degeneracy of the genetic code in two manners: having more than one tRNA (with a specific anti-codon) for a particular amino acid; and 'wobble' base-pairing, i.e. permitting non-standard base-pairing at the 3rd anti-codon position. Lineage: Eukaryota; Viridiplantae; Streptophyta; Magnoliopsida; Dipsacales; Caprifoliaceae. The record is from RNAcentral.
UCAGCGGUAGAGUAACGCCAUGGUAAGGCGUAAGUCAUCGGUUCAAAUCCGAUAAGGUGCU